This 221-nucleotide long non-coding RNA is filed under the name Eucalyptus grandis. RNAcentral describes it as "long non-coding RNA (EGRA_LNC006136)". Lineage: Eukaryota; Viridiplantae; Streptophyta; Magnoliopsida; Myrtales; Myrtaceae. The record is from RNAcentral.
ACGGAACGGAGAACGGGGAGAGAGAAAGAGAGGAGAGAGAGGAGAGCAGAGCGUCAGAAGGUGCAGAGAGGUGGGCCAGGGAGAGAGGAGAGAGAGAAGCUCCCGCGCGCUGGUUCGAAACGGAGAAGUGGACGACGUGGACUGACAAACGGACACGUGUCGCACAAUGAAUGGUUCAGAGCACGAAUGACGUGGCACUGUUAGGGUACCCAAUAUUUUCU